Long non-coding RNA from Herpailurus yagouaroundi (jaguarundi), 3773 nucleotides. RefSeq lists it as uncharacterized. The transcript is spliced from 2 exons. NCBI's taxonomy places the organism in Eukaryota, Metazoa, Chordata, Mammalia, Carnivora, Felidae. The record is from RefSeq and is a predicted model, not a curated record.
GCUCUCCUGAAAAGCAGGAGUCAGGGGGAAAUGCCUCUGUCCCCGUGGAGGCUGUGGGCAGGGGGGGGCCAGAGCAAGGGGUUCAGGUGGGAUACGCCAUGCAAAGGAAGGCAUUCCCACAUGAUGAGACUCCGCGCUCUGGUGUCCCCUCAUCCGCAGCCACAUAACCGGUCUCAGGAUGACAAGCAAGGGCAUGCUUCUGGUUUCUCCAUAAUCUGAGCAUCUCCGUGUCCAAACCCCAAAUCCCAAUAAGCCUCAGUAGCAAUUUCCAAAAGUUCUGACCAAAACUCACUCCUUAACUGGCCGGGCUGAGAGAAGCAGUCCCAAGCCCCUCCUUACGAAAAAGUCUAAGUCCUUUCUGUUUUCAUCCCAACAAAGAUAGACCGUCUGUACCCACAGGUGCCCUCCCUAACGUGCAGCACAGCAGCUGGGACACCCUAUUCUCGGCCUCGCCAGAGUGCUUUCCUGGGAAUCAGAAGCAAGGCUGGGAAUGCUGCCUUCACAACUUCGAUCUGGGGGACCCACUGCAAAGGUGAGGGCGAGGGCAAAUGACUGAGCAACCGUGGGGCACCCUAAGAAGGGGGCAGGAGACCACCUGGGUUUGAAAAAUGUGGUUCUGGAAAGCAAACCAACCACAAAAGCAAGUAAAGGGGGGGGGCGGGAGGAAGGAAAGAAGGAAGAACACAGUGGUUUAUCUCACCUAACACCUCCUCUUUCUCUUCCCAGCCUAAUCAACACCUCCAUGAACCCCUGCAAAAUGUUCCGUUCAUAUAGCACAUGUGUGUGUGAGAGAAUAUAUAUACUGACAGAUACUGAUCAUCAACAGAUACUGAUCACAUGAGGGGAGAACAUAACUUGAACUUCAGACUCACCCCAGCAGUGCCUGAUUCUCUUUCACUAUCAGCCUCCUUACCUAUUCUGAGGCGCUUCAAAACAAAACAAACAAAAACCAACUCCUGGGCAGAAAGGGAACAGCAGCUGAACUGAGCGGCACAUGCUUGGAGCAUUCCCGCCAUAGACUUCGGAGUAUUUCUGCUUUCUUGAGCCACAGCCACCAGCACUGGACUACAGAACAGCCCUGGAGAGAAAUCGCCUGUAGGGAGACACUCACAGACCCUCCCUGGAGCCACGCACCCCAGCGUGUGCAGCUGAGUCUCUGUGAAAUGGACAUACGCUCAGGUAAGGCUCUGCCCACACGUGACCCAGAACACUGCGAAAUUCUUCCCUUCCAUAAUCGCGUGGCAUCCAAAGUCUUGCCUACACCUAGUACGUGCAGAUGUCGAUUCCGUAAGAACACAUGAUGGAAGGGCAGAAAUGGGAAUGGCCAAAGCCCCAUUUUCUCGUGACCACAUCUCUCCUCUCCACGGUGCGCCCACACACACGGGUGGAUGCAGGCCCAGGACUCUCCCAGAAGCCAUCAGGACCCCGCCAGCCCUUCACUCCUGCUCUGACCCGGAGGAGGUCAGAAGAUACCCUGGCUUCCCCCAUCCCUCCACACCUCCAUGCUGGUUUCCUGUCUUUCUGGGGCUGUUAGCUCCAGGCUCUCCAGGCUGGGGACAGCAAAUUUGGUCUCGCUUGGCUGUUAGAAACACAGAUUAAAGGGACAAACACAACUUCCAGGACAGACUUCCAAGGAAACAAGAAGAUGGGGCAUAUAACCAAAAUGCAAGGCAAACAGCACCUCUUUCAACAAGAACUGGAUUUGAGCAACUAGAAUAUCUUUUAUUUCUGUCAAAUGUUCAGUAAUAUGAAGAGUUGGACCCGGGCAUUACCUUCCCAUGCUCUACUGUGAGCAUUUUCUCUUCUUCCCCUCCUUCCCUUCCACUCUCCUUCUUCUUACUCAGUUCUUUAUUCUCUGUUUCACCCUUGCUCCUUGCCUAAGGAUCAGCCUCCAGAGCUCUUGAAAACCAUUCUCAGUCUCUGCUCUUGUCCCCAAAACUAAAGAAAUGCUGAUGUUCUCUCUCUUUCUCCCUAUGGAAAAGAGGCUGCUGUCCAGAAGGAGCAAAAGUGAAGGGAAAGAAAGCAGGGAGUAUGGCACAUGGCUCUGUGGCCGUGACUUUCUCUACCAGCCUGUUAGGUCUAUGAGGUCAAGGAACACGUUGCCUUUUGCACCACUGUAUGCCCAGCACCUAGCAUGGUAACUUACACCUAGUAACUGAUGGAUGAAUGGGUGUUAGGUGGAUAAAGAAAACGAAUUAGGACAGCUAUUUGACAUUUGUUGUACUGGUCGAAAGGCUAUUGAGAAUUUUCUUUCUCUUCCAAACUUCGUAAUGAUGUUCAUUCAGCAUUAUCAAGUCAUAGUCAGCUGGACCAGGUCCCAGAGAAAAGAUGCAGACAUUUAAUGCGGAACUGAGGAGGCCAGACCCAGAGGAAUGGAUCCCAAAGGAGGUAGAAAUGCCAAAGACAACUUGCGUGGCUUUAGUACGGUCACUUCUCCCUUACUGGACUCCAUGUGAAAUAAAAGAUCUUGAUCUGGAAAUUGCCAUAGAAAACAAAACCCAUCAUUUCCUAAGAAUGGUUAUGCCUUAGACUAUACACGGCCUAAUUCUGUUCACCCGAGGGCUCUCAUGUGGACUGUUAUCCAGUAACUGACCAUUUCCUUCAGCCUGCCGUGUUUUUCUAGAGGAAAAGGUGAUGGCUGCCAGGCUCAUCAUUCUAUCCCACUUCCAUGGUUAAUCAGUUAUUAUCUAUCCUUCAAAAUCUCUCUGUUCCCCCCAACAAUUCCACUCUAGAAAGCCCUGCCACAUAUUCUGGAUUACUAAAGUUAGGUCCUAAGUCUUUAUAUUUUCUUAAAGCUCUUAUAAUUUUCAUUAAAGGACCCAAAGAAGAGGUGCUUUUAAUAACACAUCAUUAAAGAGUUACUAAUACUGUUCCCAUCAAACUUUUCUCCCACCAACCCUCCUGCCAAUAGUUCAGGUUUGUGUGGCCCAAGUUCAGACCUGGGCAGAUGGUGUAAGGGAAAUAAAGAACUAGAAAUCUAGAAAGCUAGACUUAAGUCCCAGGUCACAAAAUCUGUAAAAACACUUGGCCUCUCUGGACAUAUAAAAUACGUGUUGUAGCAGGUUUAAUAGUAUGUAAACUCGGUAAUUUUUAGGACUUGUAAAUCAAUGAUUUUUCUUCAUUUUAUGAAAAGCUCAUCAAGAAUAUCAUUAAUCUUUGAAAAUUUAAGAAACCUUUGGUCCAAAAAUGUAUUGAUCAAAAAUAUUUUAUUAGAUGAACUCCUAUAGAUACAUUCUACGCAGAAAAACUUAAAUCUCAACAAGAAAUAUUGCAGGGAAAAACAUUUCUUUCUUAAAAGGUGGGUGAUAUCCUCUCCAUCAAAUGCAUUAUUUGACAACACUUUGAUGUUAGAGCCUCUUCUCAUAAAUGCUGCAAAAGUUUUAGUGUCUUAAAUUGUGUACUUAGUUCUUAGAAAUCGGUAAAAGAGUUACUAGAGUAUGUUUUAUAUACUGAUGAUUAACCUAAGUCAUGGACAGUUUACAGGACAAUGACAUCUAGGAAAAGCAUAACUGAGGAAUCACAAAGAAGGGCUUCCUUUGCGAAAAGAAGAGAGGCAUAGUCAAGAAGAAGGACUCAAUAUUAUGACCUGGGUCAUAAACUGAGUGUGAUCCAAGGAAAAUUCCAGCUAGCCUGCAAAAUGUCUAAGGCCCACUCCUUAACAUGAACCUCUUACAAAUAGCUACUCAUGGAGGAACUCAUCUCAUUCACAUGAUGAAAAGUCAAGAUGGAACCAGCACAAAAUCAUUACAAAAUUCCUCUCACUCAAACCCAAA